Molecule: long non-coding RNA, 1566 nt
Organism: Triticum aestivum (bread wheat)
Lineage: Eukaryota; Viridiplantae; Streptophyta; Magnoliopsida; Poales; Poaceae
Exons: 6
Source: RefSeq, a predicted model, not a curated record
ACUGGGGUUGAAUUUGCUGUGGAGUUGCAUGAUUUUCUUGUCGAAGAUCUGGUGAAGCUAUAUCCUGCAAUUGAAGAAAACUCUCAACUCCUACUUGCGCUCCGCCUCUUCCUCCUUUUCAUCGCUCAAUAGGAGGCAGCUCAUCUGGCCGUGCAGCAGACCACGUCCUGAGCGGGUCGGUGACGGCGGUUGCAGCUGGUGCACGAUGGCGAUUCCAACGACAACAGGAAUCUGCAACUUGUUAGACUUCUUUGCAACCCCAACAAGGCCCUCAUCUGCUUUGUCUACAUAUAUGCAUGAUUUCUAUGAUUGGAAUCAGAUAGCACUAACUAUGUGUCAGACUGCUAAUAUUUAUUUGCUUGAUGAUCCUUGAAGCGCACUCUACGCUCAUACAUGAUCCCACAUAUUCUAGAUGCUUUCUUGAGGCUUUGGCUAAAAAUCUGUGGUGUACGUCACUCAUCAGGUAACUCUGACGGGCUAAUGCCUUAAGCUGGGACAUACAACAAAAUACUUAUUUUAUGGGAGGAGUUUAUGGAACUGGGUAGUGCUCAUCAGGAUGCUCUUGCAGCAAUUGACACAAUCGAUGUGGCUAAUGGAGCCAGUGAGUAACCUUGCCACCCUUCAGUAUGGUUCCUAUCUUUAGACAGUCACAUCCACGUUCGUACUUUUAGAAUAGUUGUUGCAACGGGGAAGAGCAUUUCUGCAAUAGCAAGAUAUCAGGACCCAAUGGGCAUAGGCCGAACCAACCACCAUCACUAUUGCUUCAGGAUUAGAUAGCCAACUUCCACUCAUGAGCCUGUCGAGUCAAGUUUCAGACUGAUCAUGUAUCCCCUUGAUAUUCACUGGAUGGAAUCCCCUGUCUUACUCAAACUGAACCUUCUACAAACAUCGGAAAAGCAACAGUAGUAAAGAUGGAUAGAAAUUCCAAAAAUAAGGUGUUUUUUAUGGAUGUAGCUGGUUGCGAUGAAGCUAAACAAGAAAUAAUGCUAUCACUUAUUACCUUUGUCCUUCAAAUUUGAGUAUAGGCCUGCGAAAUAAUGAAUAUUUGUGUCUCAUUGCUCCAGCAUGGUCAAUAAAGAUAUGUUGACCCAGGAAAUGUGGGUUUAUCAUAGGUCCUACUGUAUACGUUGAUAUAUGAAAUAUGACAUUUCCGGUUAUAUGCUAUCACUUAUUACCUCUGUCCUUUGCAUUGAGUAUAGGCCUGUGAAAUAAUGGUGUAUUUGUGUGUUGAUUCGUCUGUUUUCCUUCAUGUUCUGGUUCUAAGGUACCAGGACAGACCCAGAGUUAUUUGUAAAAAAGUGCUUUCCAAUGUACCAAUAUUUUGUAUCCUUUCUAAUGCUUAAAAAAGAGGCGAAUAAUUCUUUUAGAAUAUGUAAUAUCCGACAUGUGUAACGCACCUUAAGAGACUACUAAGUUAUCCUGUAUAAUUGGCACGCCCUACUUUUGUAGUAAUAAAUAUAUCAUGUGCUGCUUCAUACAGGUGAUACAUUGCAUUUACCAUAGUAUUUGAUUACAUAUGAUAACAUAAAAUCUGUUUUUUCCUUAGCGGUUCGGCACACUUAGUGC